RNAcentral lists this ribosomal RNA (330 nucleotides) under uncultured bacterium. Its description in RNAcentral is "bacterial SSU rRNA". It matches the Rfam family "Bacterial small subunit ribosomal RNA", at positions 66 to 422 of the family's 1533-position model. The record is from RNAcentral.
GCGGGCGUAGCAAUACGUCAGCGGCAGACGGGUGAGUAACGCGUGGGAACGUACCUUUUGGUUCGGAACAACACAGGGAAACUUGUGCUAAUACCGGAUAAGCCCUUACGGGGAAAGAUUUAUCGCCGAAAGAUCGGCCCGCGUCUGAUUAGCUAGUUGGUGGGGUAACGGCUCACCAAGGCGACGAUCAGUAGCUGGUCUGAGAGGAUGAUCAGCCACAUUGGGACUGAGACACGGCCCAAACUCCUACGGGAGGCAGCAGUGGGGAAUAUUGGACAAUGGGCGCAAGCCUGAUCCAGCCAUGCCGCGUGAGUGAUGAAGGCCCUAGGG